RNAcentral lists this ribosomal RNA (1459 nucleotides) under uncultured organism. RNAcentral describes it as "bacterial SSU rRNA". It matches the Rfam family "Bacterial small subunit ribosomal RNA". The record is from RNAcentral.
GAUUGAACGCUGACGGCGUGGAUGAGGCAUGCAAGUCGAACGAAGUUUCCGGUUCGCCGGAAACUUAGUGGCGGAAGGGUUAGUAAUACAUGGAUAAUCUGCCUCUAACUCGGGAAUAACGGUUGGAAACGACCGCUAAUACCGGAUGUGGUGGGAUAGCAUAAGUUAUCUUCAUUAAAGUGGGGGAUCGUAAGACCUCGCGGUUAGAGAAGAGUCCAUGGGAUAUCAGCUUGUUGGUGAGGUAAAAGCUCACCAAGGCUAAGACGUCUAGGCGGACUGAGAGGUUGAUCGCCAACACUGGGACUGAGAUACUGCCCAGACUUCUACGGAAGGCUGCAGUCGAGAAUCAUUCGCAAUGGGCGAAAGCCUGACGAUGCGACGCCGUGUGUGCGAAGAAGGCCUUCGGGUUGUAAAGCACUUUCGCCUGGGAACAAGAGAAGCCGGUUAAUAACCGGCUAAUUUGAGGGUACCAGGUAAAGAAGCACCGGCUAACUCCGUGCCAGCAGCUGCGGUAAUACGGAGGGUGCAAGCGUUAAUCGGAAUUAUUGGGCGUAAAGAGCGCGUAGGUGGAAAUGCCAGUCAGGUGUGAAAUUCCAGAGCUCAACUCUGGAGCUGCACUUGAAACUACAUUUCUAGAGGAUAGGCGGAGAAAGUGGAAUUCCAUAUGUAGCGGUGAAAUGCGUAGAUAUAUGGAGGAACACCCGUGGCGAAGGCGACUUUCUAGCCUACUCAUGACACUGAGGCGCGAAAGCGAGGGGAGCAAACAGGAUUAGAUACCCUGGUAGUCCUCGCCGUAAACGAUGCAUACUUGGUGUAGUUGGUCUCAACCCCAGCUGCGCCGUAGCUAACGUGUUAAGUAUGCCGCCUGGGGAGUACGCUCGCAAGGGUGAAACUCAAAAGAAUUGACGGGGACCCGCACAAGCAGUGGAGCAUGUGGUUUAAUUCGAUGCAACGCGAAGAACCUUACCCAGACUUGACAUGAUGAGGGCCGGUACAGAAAUGUACCUUCUCGUAUGAGUCUCAUCACAGGUGCUGCAUGGCUGUCGUCAGCUCGUGCCGUGAGGUGUUGGGUUAAGUCCCGCAACGAGCGCAACCCUCGUCACUAGUUGCCAACAUUUCGGAUGGGAACUCUAGUGAGACUGCCUGGGUUAACCAGGAGGAAGGUGAGGACGAGGUCAAGUCAGCAUGGCCCUUAUGUCUGGGGCUACACACGUGCUACAAUGGUUGGUACAAUAGGCAGCAAGACCGAAAGGUGGAGCAAAUCCCAAAAACCAACCCCAGUUCGGAUUGUGGUCUGCAACUCGACCACAUGAAGUCGGAAUUGCUAGUAAUGGCGUGUCAGCAAUAACGCCGUGAUACGUUCCCGGGUCUUGUACACACCGCCCGUCACAUCAUGGAAGUUGGUCCCACCCGAAGUCGCUGACUCAACCGCAAGGGGAGAAGCGCCGAAGGUGAGGCC